This is a long non-coding RNA of Cyprinus carpio carpio, 1635 nucleotides long. Lineage: Eukaryota; Metazoa; Chordata; Actinopteri; Cypriniformes; Cyprinidae. The record is from Ensembl.
AAAUGCUCUGUUGUAUGUAAUGCACAUUUUGGCAGGUCAUCCAGGUAGAAUGCUAUUCUGAAUGCUACCGUAUGCUGCUUACCGUGAUUGGUCAGUCUCUUGCUGCUGAUUAAUGAUCUGAUUUGUUGAGCUGAAAGACACAGAGUUCUCUUUUGCAGGAGUCAAAUCACCCUGAAAGAGAAGGUGAGUGUUUGUGUUAGUAAUGGUUCAUGUGAUAUUUCAGUGGCUGCAUCUGAAAUCACAUACUUAUCCACUACAUCAGUGGUGACAGUAUGUGAAAAGAGUAGUAUGUCUGACUUCAUGGUGUUCAUAAAACAGCAGGUGAAAUGUUCCUGGAUGUCUUACUACUUCUGACGUGACAUCCAAUUGACACAUUACUAUCCCAUGAGGCCACGGGAGGGGAUUUGUGAAACUGAUGCUGGUAGGUCACAUGAUGAUGACAAUAUGAUGAAUGUAGUAUGUCCAGAUUACAUUCAUAUUAUACAUGUUCAUACUAUAUAGAACAUCGUUUUUUUUUAACGCUCACGAAGCAAUUAGCCUACUAAAGGAGUACCUACUCAGUAUGUGAUUUCGGAGACAGCCAAUGUUUUUGGUGCAAACAGCUUGACCAACAUUAGAAGUGGGCCUUAUAAUAGUGAUUCAAAAUUGUAGGAUGCAGUCAGCCUGUGCUAAUUUUUGUGUGAAGUCUCAAACCUGUGAAUAAGUCGGGUCCCAAAUUGGCCGGAAGGCACUGACAGGGAUUCUGUGUGGUUUUGGGGCAAGCGUUUUUCCUUGAGCCCCAAUGCAAACCUCAGCAGGAAUAGGAGCCCGUCUAGGAAUCUGCCACUGCAUGCAUAAGCUUCCCCCUGUCUGCACAGCUGAAGAAUUGUGAGUGUAUGAAGGUUUGAGGAGAACUGGAACCUCACUGUCCUCUUCAUCAUCAUCAUCCUCAUCAUCACGUGCUUCCGCUCCCCUGAGUCGAUUCAGAGUUUCAUCUGGGCUACAGGUCGUUACAGAAGAGAAGUCAAAAAUGGAUGCAUCAGCCACGUCACAGUCUGUGUCCCCAUCAUCAAGACGAUGUGACGGAGGGUACAGGUCAGAUGUGUAUAUGCGUCCGUCGAGGCCUGGAGACCCACACACACGCACGGCCAGACCAGCCGAAGAGCUCUGACUCUUGGCAGCAGUAGUGAGGUUUCCCCCGACACCUACAGGUGGAACAGGAUUCAGAAAGCGGCCGGCUUCUCUAGGAUGACGAGCGAAGGGUACACAGAUGGGACCCUUGUGGCUCUGCCCUGCGCUGCCAUUCCACAUGUACUCUGCAGUCCAGCCACCAGGGGUCAGAUCACAUAUAUGCUCAUGGCCAUUUCUGAGGGGAGACAUUGUUGUAUACUAUAGGUAAGAAAAAUGUAAUUUUAAAGAAAAAAAUCUAAAGUAGUCAACAUGUAAUGAAAAUGUAUAUAUUUUAUUUUUUUAAAUACAUGUUUUAAAUCUUGCUGUGAAUGAUUCAUCCAUGUAUGUUUUAUUAAAACAAAAAAAACUGAUAUUAUGAAAAUGACAUGUUGUUUGAAAAUUAAAUAAUUGCCAUUUGUUUCCAAUACACAUAAUCUGUACCUGCAUGCUUAAAUUGAUUUUGUUCAGUACAUUAAUACAUUUAGA